AUUGAACGCUGGCGGCAUGCCUUACACAUGCAAGUCGAACGGCAGCACGGGUGCUUGCACCUGGUGGCGAGUGGCGAACGGGUGAGUAAUACAUCGGCACAUGUCCUUUAGUUGGGGAUAGCCCGGCGAAAGCCGGAUUAAUACCGCAUACGAUCUACGGAUGAAAGCGGGGGACCUUCGGGCCUCGCGCUAUAGGGUUGGCCGAUGGCUGAUUAGCUAGUUGGUGGGGUAAAGGCCUACCAAGGCGACGAUCAGUAGCUGGUCUGAGAGGACGACCAGCCACACUGGGACUGAGACACGGCCCAGACUCCUACGGGAGGCGGCAGUGGGGAAUUUUGGACAAUGGGCGAAAGCCUGAUCCAGCAAUGCCGCGUGUGUGAAGAAGGCCUUCGGGUUGUAAAGCACUUUUGUCCGGAAAGAAAUCCUUGGCCCUAAUACGGUCGGGGGAUGACGGUACCGGAAGAAUAAGCACCGGCUAACUACGUG
This 486-nucleotide ribosomal RNA is filed under the name uncultured bacterium. Its description in RNAcentral is "partial 16S ribosomal RNA". It matches the Rfam family "Bacterial small subunit ribosomal RNA", at positions 30 to 507 of the family's 1533-position model. The record is from RNAcentral.